Molecule: ribosomal RNA, 430 nt
Filed under: uncultured bacterium
Lineage: Bacteria
Description: partial 16S ribosomal RNA
Rfam family: Bacterial small subunit ribosomal RNA
Source: RNAcentral
CGAACGCUGGCGGCAUGCCUAACACAUGCAAGUCGAACGAGACCUUCGGGUCUAGUGGCGCACGGGUGCGUAACGCGUGGGAACCUGCCCUUAGGUUCGGAAUAACUCCCCGAAAGGGGUGCUAAUACCGGAUAAUGUCUUCGGACCAAAGAUUUAUCGCCUUUGGUUGGGCCCGCGUUGGAUUAGCUAGUUGGUAGGGUAAAAGCCUACCAAGGCGGCGAUCCAUAGCUGGUCUGAGAGGAUGAACAGCCACACUGGGACUGGGACACGGCCCAGACUCCACGGGGGGGGGGGAGGGGGGAAAUUUGGACAGGGGGCGAAAGCCUGACCCGCCACGGCCGGGUGGGGGGUGAAGGCGUUGGGGUUGAAAAGCUCUUUUCCCCGGGAUGAAAAUGCCGUAACGGGGAGAAAAGGCCCCGGCUACCCCCUG